AUGGUUGUUUACCAUGUUGUUUGCUUAUUACCGGUGUUGCUUCUUCGGGUUAGUUCCCUUAACAUCGCGUUUGUGAGGAUCCGUUCGACUACGUCCGUUUGUCUUCUUCAUGGACUCGUUCUUCUUCCUUGCGGGAUCUCAGGCAAGAUGACCAUACCCUCGAAAUCACUUCUAUCAUUGCUUGCUAGUUGUUCGCUCUUUUGCCAUGCCGUGAUACCUACCACUUUCUAUAUCAUGCCUCCCAUAUUGCAAUGUCAAGCCUCUAACCCACCUUCCCUAGCAAACCGUUGUUUGGCUAUGUUACCGCUUUGCUCAGCCCCUCUAAUAGCAUUGCUAGUUGCAGGUGAAGUUGAAGUUUGUUCCUUGUUGGAACAUGGAUAUUGUUGGGAUAUCAUUACUAUAUCUUAUUUACUUUAA
RNAcentral lists this ribosomal RNA (417 nucleotides) under Triticum aestivum (bread wheat). RNAcentral describes it as "partial small subunit ribosomal RNA". The record is from RNAcentral. Lineage: Eukaryota; Viridiplantae; Streptophyta; Magnoliopsida; Poales; Poaceae.